AAACUUUCAACAACGGAUCUCUUGGCUCUCGCAUCGAUGAAGAACGCAGCGAAAUGCGAUAAGUAGUGUGAAUUGCAGAACUUUGUGAACCAUCGAAUCUUUGAACGCAAAUUGCGCCUUCUUUCGGAAGGCAUAUCUGUUUGAGGGCACCAUU
This 154-nucleotide ribosomal RNA is filed under the name uncultured Paraglomus. Its description in RNAcentral is "5.8S ribosomal RNA". It matches the Rfam family "5.8S ribosomal RNA". Rfam says of the family: 5.8S ribosomal RNA (5.8S rRNA) is a component of the large subunit of the eukaryotic ribosome. Lineage: Eukaryota; Fungi; Glomeromycota; Glomeromycetes; Paraglomerales; Paraglomeraceae. The record is from RNAcentral.